Molecule: small RNA, 620 nt
Filed under: Histoplasma ohiense
Lineage: Eukaryota; Fungi; Ascomycota; Eurotiomycetes; Onygenales; Ajellomycetaceae
Description: hypothetical lncRNA
Source: RNAcentral
UAUGUGGCCUGAUGAUGUCAAAUCCAAGAACUAUAGUGGCUCAUUCAUUGUGGAUUUGGGUAGCACAGCCACUUACCCUGAAAUCCAUUGUUUCUGGUUGAGUACAAGACGCAGGUAGUGCCUUGCUGAUAUAGAUCAAUGCUUUAUGGAUUAGGAGCCAUCUGAUUGGGACAGUGAACUUGUGAAUAAGUUUUUCAAUGACAUGCAUAAGGAAAAUGUGGCGAUUUCAAAAAAAAAAAAAAAAGAAAAGAAAAGAAAAGAAAGGAAAGGAAGUAGGAGAGGGCGUUGAGAAGGAGCAGGAAUAGCAGAAAGCGAUUUGCAAAGAGAGAGACCCAGCGACCAAACCCUAAUUGGGAAGAAUUCAACAUUUACCCAAGGGGUUGGCUUGAUAUCGACUAUUCUUCUUGUGCAGGCGUGCUCAUACACACCACCCUAAGGUUUCCAAGAAGGGAGGAGGGGAUACUUUAACCAGCGUGUAUAUCACGGUCGGCAUCCGACAACACAUGAAUUCACCAAAAUUGUGAGCUUGUCAGUAGGCACUUUGGUCCACUGUUAUCCCACAGAAUGCAAGGAGGAGCAGAGCUGUCUGCCGGACUGCUUAUCAUUGCGACGAAGUAGAA